UACGUAGGGUGCAAGCGUUAAUCGGAAUUACUGGGCGUAAAGCGUGCGCAGGCGGUUAUGUAAGACAGGUGUGAAAUCCCAGGGCUUAACCUUGGAACUGCAUUUGUGACUGCAUAGCUAGAGUACGGUAGAGGGGGAUGGAAUUCCGCGUGUAGCAGUGAAAUGCGUAGAUAUGCGGAGGAACACCGAUGGCGAAGGCAGCACUCUGGGCCGGUACUGACGCUGAGGAGCGAAAGCGUGGGGAGCAAACAGG
This 253-nucleotide ribosomal RNA is filed under the name uncultured bacterium. RNAcentral describes it as "partial 16S ribosomal RNA". It matches the Rfam family "Bacterial small subunit ribosomal RNA", at positions 524 to 776 of the family's 1533-position model. The record is from RNAcentral.